Molecule: ribosomal RNA, 544 nt
Filed under: Crystallogobius linearis (crystal goby)
Lineage: Eukaryota; Metazoa; Chordata; Actinopteri; Gobiiformes; Gobiidae
Description: partial 16S ribosomal RNA
Rfam family: Bacterial large subunit ribosomal RNA
Source: RNAcentral
AGGUCCCGCCUGCCCUGUGACCACAAGUUUAACGGCCGCGGUAUUUUGACCGUGCAAAGGUAGCGUAAUCACUUGUCUUUUAAAUGAAGACCUGUAUGAAUGGCAUAACGAGGGCUAAACUGUCUCCUUUUCCCAGUCAAUGAAAUUGAUCUCCCCGUGCAGAAGCGGGGAUAUAAACAUAAGACGAGAAGACCCUAUGGAGCUUAAGACACAAGGCAGCUAAUACUAAAUACCCCCAUAAAAGGAAAAAUUCUAUUUAGCUCUGCCCUCAUGUCUUUGGUUGGGGCGACCGCGGAAGAAUAAAUAUCUCCCACGUGGAAUGGGGUAAGACCCUUAAAAUUAGAGCCACAGCCCUAAUAAACAGAAUAUCUGACCUAAAAGAUCCGGCACAGCCGAUCAACGGACCAAGUUACCCUAGGGAUAACAGCGCAAUCCCCUUUAAGAGCCCUUAUCGACAAGGGGGUUUACGACCUCGAUGUUGGAUCAGGACUUCCUAAUGGUGCAGCCGCUAUUAAGGGUUCGUUUGUUCAACGAUUAAAGUCCU